GUGAGCCGACGACCAGUGCAACAGAGAGCAGACCGCCAUUUUUAGAAAAGGAAAGGGUGAAAGGGUGCGGUAAGAGCGCACCGCGUGGGUGGCAACACUUCACGGCAGGGUAAACUCCACUCGUAGCAAGACCAAAUAGGAACUCAAUGGAUGGCCCGUCCAGAGUUCGGGUAGGUUGCUUGAGCAUAAUAGUGAUGUUAUGCCUAGAGGAAUGGUUGUCCAAGACAGAACUCGGCUUAUCGACUAACUCAUCUU
RNAcentral lists this RNase P RNA (255 nucleotides) under Pseudohaemophilus parahaemolyticus. Its description in RNAcentral is "Haemophilus parahaemolyticus partial RNase P RNA component class A". It matches the Rfam family "Bacterial RNase P class A", at positions 94 to 367 of the family's 367-position model. Rfam says of the family: Ribonuclease P (RNase P) is a ubiquitous endoribonuclease, found in archaea, bacteria and eukarya as well as chloroplasts and mitochondria. Lineage: Bacteria; Pseudomonadati; Pseudomonadota; Gammaproteobacteria; Pasteurellales; Pasteurellaceae. The record is from RNAcentral.